GAUGAACGCUGGCGGCGUGCCUAAUACAUGCAAGUCGAGCGAACAGACGAGGAGCUUGCUCCUCUGACGUUAGCGGCGGACGGGUGAGUAACACGUGGAUAACCUACCUAUAAGACUGGGAUAACUUCGGGAAACCGGAGCUAAUACCGGAUAAUAUAUUGAACCGCAUGGUUCAAUAGUGAAAGACGGUUUUGCUGUCACUUAUAGAUGGAUCCGCGCCGCAUUAGCUAGUUGGUAAGGUAACGGCUUACCAAGGCAAUGAUGCGUAGCCGACCUGAGAGGGUGAUCGGCCACACUAGAACUGAGACACGGUCCAGACUCCUACGGGAGGCAGCAGUAGGGAAUCUUCCGCAAUGGGCGAAAGCCUGACGGAGCAACGCCGCGUGAGUGAUGAAGGUCUUCGGAUCGUAAAACUCUGUUAUUAGGGAAGAACAAAUGUGUAAGUAACUAUGCACGUCUUGACGGUACCUAAUCAGAAAGCCACGGCUAACUACGUG
RNAcentral lists this ribosomal RNA (497 nucleotides) under uncultured bacterium. RNAcentral's name for it is "partial 16S ribosomal RNA". It matches the Rfam family "Bacterial small subunit ribosomal RNA", at positions 28 to 507 of the family's 1533-position model. The record is from RNAcentral.